RNAcentral lists this microRNA precursor (83 nucleotides) under Ascaris suum (pig roundworm). Its description in RNAcentral is "microRNA asu-mir-7 precursor". Its record names the gene asu-mir-7. Lineage: Eukaryota; Metazoa; Nematoda; Chromadorea; Rhabditida; Ascarididae. The record is from miRBase by way of RNAcentral.
ACUCCCGGGUGGAAGACUGGUGAUUUUGUUGUUUGAGCUCAUCCAUAACAGCAAAUCCGUAGUCUCCACCUGGCAACUCCUAA